AGGGGAUGGGCCUGGGUCUUCCUCUAACUACCCAGCUGGCCUCUGCCCCUCCCCAGCCUCCUCCACAACCUCCGGAGCCACACUUUCACUCCCUGUCAGCUGUUCCUCCUCUCCCUCUGAGUCAGUAUCCAACAGGGGCAUAACAGUGAAUUUCUGUUCCAAAU
Non-coding RNA from Pseudonaja textilis, 164 nucleotides. The record is from RefSeq and is a predicted model, not a curated record. NCBI's taxonomy places the organism in Eukaryota, Metazoa, Chordata, Lepidosauria, Squamata, Elapidae.